GAGGUUGGGAGAGGGAUGCGGAAUUCCAGGUGUAGCGGUGAAAUGCGUAGAUAUCUGGAGGAACACCGGUGGCGAAGGCGGCAUCCUGGACCGACACUGACGCUGAGGAGCGAAAGCCAGGGGAGCAAACGGGAUUAGAUACCCCGGUAGUCCUGGCCCUAAACGAUGAAUGCUUGGUGUGGCGGGUAUCGAUCCCUGCCGUGCCGAAGCUAACGCAUUAAGCAUUCCGCCUGGGGAGUACGGUCGCAAGGCUGAAACUCAAAUGAAUUGACGG
This 274-nucleotide ribosomal RNA is filed under the name uncultured bacterium. Its description in RNAcentral is "partial 16S ribosomal RNA". It matches the Rfam family "Bacterial small subunit ribosomal RNA", at positions 644 to 916 of the family's 1533-position model. The record is from RNAcentral.